RNAcentral lists this unclassified non-coding RNA (335 nucleotides) under soil metagenome. RNAcentral describes it as "partial contains 5.8S ribosomal RNA, internal transcribed spacer 2, and large subunit ribosomal RNA". The stretch from base 6 to 121 matches the Rfam family "5.8S ribosomal RNA", at positions 39 to 154 of the family's 154-position model. The record is from RNAcentral.
GAUGAAAGAACGUAGCGAAAUGCGAUACGUAAUGUGAAUUGCAGAAUUCAGUGAAUCAUCGAAUCUUUGAACGUACAUUGCGCCCGCCAGCACUCUGGCGGGCAUGCCUGUUCGAGCGUCAUUUCAACCAUCAAGCCCCAGGCUUGCGUUGGAGCCCUGCGGCUGCCGCAGCCUCCUAAAAGCAGUGGCGGGCUCGCUAUCACACCGAGUGCAGUAGAUUACUCUUCGCUCAGGGCGUGCAGCGGGUUCCGGCCGUGAAACCCCCUACUUUUAAAGGUUGACCUCGGAUCAGGUAGGAAUACCCGCUGAACUUAAGCAUAUCAAUAAGCGGAGGA